This 235-nucleotide ribosomal RNA is filed under the name uncultured Enterobacterales bacterium. RNAcentral's name for it is "partial 16S ribosomal RNA". It matches the Rfam family "Bacterial small subunit ribosomal RNA", at positions 96 to 334 of the family's 1533-position model. The record is from RNAcentral. Lineage: Bacteria; Pseudomonadati; Pseudomonadota; Gammaproteobacteria; Enterobacterales.
UGGCGGACGGGUGAGUAAUGUCUGGGAAACUGCCUGAUGGAGGGGGAUAACUACUGGAAACGGUAGCUAAUACCGCAUAACGUCGCAAGACCAAAGAGGGGGACCUUCGGGCCUCUUGCCAUCAGAUGUGCCCGGAUGGGAUUAGCUAGUAGGUGGGGUAACGGCUCACCUAGGCGACGAUCCCUAGCUGGUCUGAGAGGAUGACCAGCCACACUGGAACUGAGACACGGUCCAG